Molecule: long non-coding RNA, 1535 nt
Organism: Pyrus x bretschneideri (Chinese white pear)
Lineage: Eukaryota; Viridiplantae; Streptophyta; Magnoliopsida; Rosales; Rosaceae
Exons: 2
Source: RefSeq, a predicted model, not a curated record
AUAAAUUUCUUAAUUGUCAUACUUUAUUUUUCAAUUAAUUUUCAUGCAUUUGGUGAUUACUUAGCACGAUAAAUGUCAACCAUAUGAUCGUUAUUCAUGAAUACAAAACAAUCCAAAACCUUCAUUCACAAAUCACAAGUAUACGAUGAGCUAUUUAGAAAUUCGACAUUUUCGUCAUCCCAAUAGCACUUGGGAUACUAUGCUAGAAUUCUAUUAUAGCACCAGUUAAGAGAUGUGAAGCUUGAAGAACUUCUCUUUAGGAAGUGUUAGCUAAUCCGUUUAAUUGCUCAAAGAAAUUAGCCAUUUUUGUCAUCUAGAUUGGAUAACCUAGGAAGAAUGUUAGAAUGAUUGAUCAUAUUUGUUAGCCCUAUGUUUUUUUAUUGCAUAAUGAUGGAAUUGAUGCGUCAUUUAGUCAUAGUAAUUGAUGUAAUAGGUACGUAUCAACUGCUGCAUCAUAUAAUUAUUCAAAACGCCCCUUUUAGCAUUUCAUUACCAUUUGCACUUCUUUGUUAGCAAUUUGGAUACCUUAUCCCCAAUUUUCAAGAUCUUGCAAAAUAAUGUGACAUUGCCUCUCUAUUUAUCUUAACAUUGGCUCUCUGUUUUUGGUAUCUUUAUUUAUCUCUUCAAGAGAUGAGUGCAUGGUUGUCACAUAAUCACAUUACAUGUUUCUUUAUCAAACUGUAUACGAUUUCUGAUUCUUUCACGUCUUAGACAAUAUAAGGAUCUUGAACCUGAAGAAGACAACAAAUGUCAGGCAGCGAUGUACUGGUGAAAUACAAGCAUCAGUAUUUCAUUGGAAAAUCAGGUGCAAUACAGGUGUUUUUAUCUGCAAAAAAUUCAGAUAUGGUGUCUUAAUAACUUUCUCAUGCUAUUCUAUUUGAUUCUUUAAUCAAAGUUUUGUAGUUUUUAGAUUUGGUGGAUCUUAGUAAAUUAGGUAGUAAAAAGUGCUCUUUUGCUUAUUCUCAAUGUAGUCAAAUUUUGUCAAGACGAUUUGAGUGGGGAAAAACAAUGUCAAACAUACGUCGUAUAUAUAAACGUUUCUUUUGGUUGUGAAGAUACACUAUGGAGUGUGUGCAUAUUUGAAUUUUCAGUUUCCUCGAGUGUAUUCAAUCUCCCAUUUCUUUAUAGAGACCUCACGUAGUACUUAAUUUAAGAUGCAUGCUUCAGUACAAUCGAAUGGAAAAAAAUUAAAAAAAUACCAUUGCAAUGUUGGUAUUUCGUAUAUCUUAUUUAUAACUACGUUUUCUAUUGCAAAUUAUCGCCACAACAAUUUAUAUGCGCGAUGUCCAUGUGGCGAUUAUGCAUGCAUUAUUUUCUUCCAAGUGAGGAUACGCUUUAAUUUGUUCCUCCCUCAUUUUUCAGGUGCAGAGUGGUGCUGAAAGUUUUUCUCAUUAUGCUCCUAUGCCCGGUUGGUCUGGUGUAUAUGACAUGCAGUGAGCUCAGGGACACAGAUAGGGAAGCAGAGUAUUUUUUGCAACCACAUCUUUUGUAAUCAGCUUGGUUGAAUGUAUAUAAAAACUAAGCUGCUUAUCUUA